This 57-nucleotide transfer RNA is filed under the name Eucoleus annulatus. Its description in RNAcentral is "tRNA-Val". Lineage: Eukaryota; Metazoa; Nematoda; Enoplea; Trichinellida; Capillariidae. The record is from RNAcentral.
AACAAAUUAAUUUAAUAGAAUCUAUUUGUUACAUAAAUAGAUAAUACUAAAUUGUGU